This 1346-nucleotide ribosomal RNA is filed under the name uncultured bacterium. RNAcentral's name for it is "bacterial SSU rRNA". It matches the Rfam family "Bacterial small subunit ribosomal RNA", at positions 28 to 1381 of the family's 1533-position model. The record is from RNAcentral.
GACGAACGCUGGCGGCGUGCUUAACACAUGCAAGUCGAACGGAAAGGCCCUGCUUUUGUGGGGUGCUCGAGUGGCGAACGGGUGAGUAACACGUGAGUAACCUGCCCUUGACUUUGGGAUAACUUCAGGAAACUGGGGCUAAUACCGGAUAGGAGCUCCUGCUGCAUGGUGGGGGUUGGAAAGUUUCGGCGGUUGGGGAUGGACUCGCGGCUUAUCAGCUUGUUGGUGGGGUAGUGGCUUACCAAGGCUUUGACGGGUAGCCGGCCUGAGAGGGUGACCGGCCACAUUGGGACUGAGAUACGGCCCAGACUCCUACGGGAGGCAGCAGUGGGGAAUAUUGCACAAUGGGCGGAAGCCUGAUGCAGCAACGCCGCGUGCGGGAUGACGGCCUUCGGGUUGUAAACCGCUUUCGCCUGUGACGAAGCGUGAGUGACGGUAAUGGGUAAAGAAGCACCGGCUAACUACGUGCCAGCAGCCGCGGUGAUACGUAGGGUGCGAGCGUUGUCCGGAUUUAUUGGGCGUAAAGGGCUCGUAGGUGGUUGAUCGCGUCGGAAGUGUAAUCUUGGGGCUUAACCCUGAGCGUGCUUUCGAUACGGGUUGACUUGAGGAAGGUAGGGGAGAAUGGAAUUCCUGGUAGAGCGGUGGAAUGCGCAGAUAUCAGGAGGAACACCAGUGGCGAAGGCGGUUCUCUGGGCCUUUCCUGACGCUGAGGAGCGAAAGCGUGGGGAGCGAACAGGCUUAGAUACCCUGGUAGUCCACGCUGUAAACGGUGGGUACUAGGUGUGGGGUCCAUUCCACGGGUUCCGUGCCGUAGCUAACGCUUUAAGUACCCCGCCUGGGGAGUACGGCCGCAAGGCUAAAACUCAAAGGAAUUGACGGGGCCCCGCACAAGCGGCGGAGCAUGCGGAUUAAUUCGAUGCAACGCGUAGAACCUUACCUGGGUUUGACAUGGAUCGGGAGCGCUCAGAGAUGGGUGUGCCUCUUUUGGGGUCGGUUCACAGGUGGUGCAUGGCUGUCGUCAGCUCGUGUCGUGAGAUGUUGGGUUAAGUCCCGCAACGAGCGCAACCCUUGUUCACUGUUGCCAGCACGUUAUGGUGGGGACUCAGUGGAGACCGCCGGGGUCAACUCGGAGGAAGGUGGGGAUGACGUCAAGUCAUCAUGCCCCUUAUGUCCAGGGCUUCACGCAUGCUACAAUGGCUGGUACAGAGAGUGGCGAGCCUGUGAGGGUGAGCGAAUCUCGGAAAGCCGGUCUCAGUUCGGAUUGGGGUCUGCAACUCGACCUCAUGAAGUCGGAGUCGCUAGUAAUCGCAGAUCAGCAACGCUGCGGUGAAUACGUUCCCGGGGCU